This 1481-nucleotide ribosomal RNA is filed under the name uncultured Bordetella sp. RNAcentral describes it as "partial 16S-23S ribosomal RNA intergenic spacer". It matches the Rfam family "Bacterial small subunit ribosomal RNA". Lineage: Bacteria; Pseudomonadati; Pseudomonadota; Betaproteobacteria; Burkholderiales; Alcaligenaceae. The record is from RNAcentral.
GGUUCGAUCAUGGCUCAGAUUGAACGCUGGCGGACGCUUUUGCCAUGCAAGUCGAACGGCAGCACGGACUUCGGUCUGUGUGCGAGUGGCGAACGGGUGAGUAAUGUAAUCGGAACGCCUAGUAGCGGGGGAUAACUACGCGAAAGCGUAGUCACAAUACCGCACACGGCCCUUCGGGAGAAAGCGGGGACCUUCGGGCCUCGCACUAUUAGAGCGGCCGAUAUCGGAUUAGCUAGCUGGUGGGGUAACGGCUCACCAAGGCGACGAUCCAGUUGGUUUGAGAGAUGACUCCAGCCACACUGGGACUGAGACACGUCCAGACUCUACGGGAGGCAGCAGCGGGGAAUUUUGGACAAUGGGGGAACCCUGAUCCAGCCAUCCUUGCGCAAAGGGAUGAAGGCUCCCGGGUUGUGUUGACUUUUUGGCAGGAAAGAAACGGCACGGGAUAAUACCCCGUGCAACUGACGGUACCUGCAGAAUAAGCACCGGCUAACUACGUGCCAGCAGCCGCGGUAAUACGUAGGGUGCAAGCGUUAAUCGGAAUUACCGGGCGUAAAGCGUGCGCAGGCGGUUCGGAAAGAAAGAUGUGAAAUCCCAGAGCUUAACUUUGGAACUGCAUUUAACUACCGAGCUAGAGGUGUCGAGGGAGGUGAAUUCCGGCAGCAGUGGUAGUAAAUGCGUAGAUAUGCGGAGGAACACCGAUGGCGAAAGUCUCCGGGAUAACACUGACGCUCAUGCACGAAAGCGCGUGGCUAAACAGGAUUAGAUACUCCUGGUAGUCCACGCCCUAAACGAUGUCAACUAGCUGUUGGGGCCUUCGGGCCUGGUAGCGCAGCUAACGCGUGAAGUUGACCGCCUGGGGAGUACGGUCGCAAGAUUAAAACUCAAAGGAAUUGACGGGGACUCCGCACAAGCGGUGGAUGAUGUGGAUUAAUUCGAUGCAACGCGAAAACCUUACCUACCCUGACAUGUCUGGAAUCCCGAAGAGAUUUGGGAGUGCUCGCAAGAGAACCGGAACACAGGUGCUGCAUGGCUGUCGUCAGCUCGUGUCAAUGUGAGAUGUUGGGUUAAGUCCCGCAACGAGCGCAACCCUUGUCAUUAGUUGCUACGAAAGGGCACUCUAGACGAGACUGCCGGUGACAAACCGGAGGAAGGUGGGGAUGACGUCAAGUCCCAUGGCCCCCAGCGGCAGGGCUUCACACGUCAUACAAUGGCGUCGAGAGGGUCGCCAACCCGCGAGGGGGAGCCAAUCCCAGAAACCCGAUCGUAGUCCGGAUCGCAGUCUGCAACUCGACUGCGUGAAGUCGGAAUCGCUAGUAAUCGCGGAUCAGCAGUGUCGCGGUGAAUACCGUUCCCGGGUCUUGUACACACCGCCCGUCACACCAUGGGAGUGGGUUUUACCAGAAGUAGUUAGCCUAACCGUAAGGAGGGCGAUUACCACGGUAGGAUUCAUGACUGGGGUGAAGUCGUAACAAGCAAAG